GGCACUGUGGCUCAAUUGGUAGAGUGCUUCCCUUGAGUUGAAGAGCUCAGGGACAGUGCCU
Molecule: transfer RNA, 61 nt
Filed under: Dipodomys ordii (Ord's kangaroo rat)
Lineage: Eukaryota; Metazoa; Chordata; Mammalia; Rodentia; Heteromyidae
Source: Rfam by way of RNAcentral